RNAcentral lists this transfer RNA (65 nucleotides) under Bombylius sp. RNAcentral's name for it is "tRNA-Tyr". It matches the Rfam family "tRNA". Rfam says of the family: Transfer RNA (tRNA) molecules are approximately 80 nucleotides in length. Their secondary structure includes four short double-helical elements and three loops (D, anti-codon, and T loops). Lineage: Eukaryota; Metazoa; Arthropoda; Insecta; Diptera; Bombyliidae. The record is from RNAcentral.
GAUUAAAUGGCUGAAGUGUAGGUAAUAGACUGUAAAUCUAUUUAUGAGGGAUACCUCUUUAAUCA